GGGCAUUCAGAAGGCUUGCUCUCUGGGCUACAUGCAGAGAACCCGGUUUCUCCUCGUGCUCCAGGGGAAAGUCCCCGGACCGCCGGCAGAAAGUGCCCUGGAUCGAUCCAGAGCCGGCCGCCGCUUCACCCGCGACGAGCCGAGACGUUCGUCCGAACCGAGCUCGGUGUUCGUCGGCCGGCGUUGUCAGCUGUCAGAGAAAUGCAAGUGAGCAGUUACUGACGCUCGAACUGAACGGGGCUCAUUCUCAGAAUGCA
This 257-nucleotide RNase MRP RNA is filed under the name Echeneis naucrates (live sharksucker). Its description in RNAcentral is "RNase MRP (ENSENLG00000001258.1)". It matches the Rfam family "RNase MRP". From Rfam's summary of the family: RNase MRP is an enzymatically active ribonucleoprotein with two distinct roles in eukaryotes. In mitochondria it plays a direct role in the initiation of mitochondrial DNA replication. The record is from Rfam by way of RNAcentral. Lineage: Eukaryota; Metazoa; Chordata; Actinopteri; Carangiformes; Echeneidae.